GACGAACGCUGGCGGCGUGCUUAACACAUGCAAGUCGAACGGAAAGGCCCUGCUUGCAGGGUACUCGAGUGGCGAACGGGUGAGUAACACGUGGGUGAUCUGCCCUGCACUUCGGGAUAAGCCUGGGAAACUGGGUCUAAUACCGGAUAGGAGCCAUUUUUAGUGUGAUGGUUGGAAAGUUUUUUCGGUGUAGGAUGAGCUCGCGGCCUAUCAGCUUGUUGGUGGGGUAAUGGCCUACCAAGGCGGCGACGGGUAGCCGGCCUGAGAGGGUGGACGGCCACAGUGGGACUGAGAUACGGCCCAGACUCCUACGGGAGGCAGCAGUGGGGAAUAUUGCACAAGGGGCGCAAGCCUGAUGCAGCGACGCCGCGUGGGGGAUGACGGCCUUCGGGUUGUAAACUCCUUUCGCUAGGGACGAAGCUUUUUGUGACGGUACCUAGAUAAGAAGCACCGGCUAACUACGUG
RNAcentral lists this ribosomal RNA (465 nucleotides) under uncultured bacterium. RNAcentral's name for it is "partial 16S ribosomal RNA". It matches the Rfam family "Bacterial small subunit ribosomal RNA", at positions 28 to 507 of the family's 1533-position model. The record is from RNAcentral.